UAAAAAAAGGUAAGCUACUAAGAGCGAAUGGUGGAUGCCUUGACUGGUAAAGGCGAUGAAGGACGUACUAGACUGCGAUAAGCUACGGGGAGCUGUCAAGAAGCUUUGAUCCGUAGAUUUCCGAAUGGGGCAACCCAAUGUAUAGAGAUAUACAUUACCUAUAUAGGAGCGAACGAGGGGAAUUGAAACAUCUUAGUACCCUCAGGAAAAGAAAUCAAUAGAGAUUGCGUCAGUAGCGGCGAGCGAAAGCGCAAGAGGGCAAACCCAGUGCUUGCACUGGGGGUUGUAGGACUGCAAUGUGCAAGAGGUAAGUUUAGCAGAACAUUCUGGAAAGUAUAACCAUAGAGGGUGAUAGUCCCGUAUGCGAAAAACAAACCUUAGCUAGCAGUAUCCUGAGUAGGGCGGGACACGAGGAAUCCUGUCUGAAUCCGGGUCGACCACGAUCCAACCCUAAAUACUAAUACCAGAUCGAUAGUGCACAAGUACCGUGAGGGAAAGGUGAAAAGAACUGAGGUGAUCAGAGUGAAAUAGAACCUGAAACCAUUUGCUUACAAUCAUUCAGAGCCCUAUGUAGCAAUACAGGGUGAUGGACUGCCUUUUGCAUAAUGAGCCUGCGAGUUGUGGUGUCUGGCAAGGUUAAGCAAACGCGAAGCCGUAGCGAAAGCGAGUCUGAAUAGGGCGCUUAGUCAGAUGCUGCAGACCCGAAACGAAGUGAUCUAUCCAUGAGCAAGUUGAAGCUAGUGUAAGAACUAGUGGAGGACUGAACCCAUAGGCGUUGAAAAGCCCCGGGAUGACUUGUGGAUAGGGGUGAAAGGCCAAUCAAACUUCGUGAUAGCUGGUUCUCUCCGAAAUAUAUUUAGGUAUAGCGUUGUGUCGUAAUAUAAGGGGGUAGAGCACUGAAUGGGCUAGGGCAUACACCAAUGUACCAAACCCUAUCAAACUCCGAAUACCUUAUAUGUAAUCACAGCAGUCAGGCGGCGAGUGAUAAAAUCCGUCGUCAAGAGGGAAACAACCCAGACUACCAGCUAAGGUCCCUAAAUCUUACUUAAGUGGAAAACGAUGUGAAGUUACUUAAACAACCAGGAGGUUGGCUUAGAAGCAGCCAUCCUUUAAAGAAAGCGUAAUAGCUCACUGGUCUAGUGAUUUUGCGCGGAAAAUAUAACGGGGCUAAAGUAAGUACCGAAGCUGUAGACUUGCACACAACUUAGAUUAUUUAAGUUUAGAAUAUGAGAAACUAAGUUAUAUGUUUAGUUAUAUUUUUACUGAUUUUUAUAGAGUAAAGAUAGAAAUAAAACUUAGUAAAAUCAGUAAAAAUAUUCUUAGACUAAAGUUAAGUAGUUUAAGUUGUGUGCAAGUGGUAGGAGAGCGUUCUAUUUGCGUCGAAGGUAUACCGGUAAGGAGUGCUGGAGCGAAUAGAAGUGAGCAUGCAGGCAUGAGUAGCGAUAAUUAAUGUGAGAAUCAUUAACGCCGUAAACCCAAGGUUUCCUACGCGAUGCUCGUCAUCGUAGGGUUAGUCGGGUCCUAAGUCGAGUCCGAAAGGGGUAGACGAUGGCAAAUUGGUUAAUAUUCCAAUACCAACAUUAGUGUGCGAUGGAAGGACGCUUAGGGCUAAGGGGGCUAGCGGAUGGAAGUGCUAGUCUAAGGUCGUAGGAGGUUGUACAGGCAAAUCCGUAUAACAAUACUCCGAGAACUGAAAGGCUUUUUGAAGUCUUCGGAUGGAUAGAAGAACCCCUGAUGCCGUCGAGCCAAGAAAAGUUUCUAAGUUUAGCUAAUGUUGCCCGUACCGUAAACCGACACAGGUGGGUGGGAUGAGUAUUCUAAGGCGCGUGGAAGAACUCUCUUUAAGGAACUCUGCAAAAUAGCACCGUAUCUUCGGUAUAAGGUGUGGUUAGCUUUGUAUUAGGAUUUACUCCGAAAGCAAGGAAACUUACAACAAAGAGUCCCUCCCGACUGUUUACCAAAAACACAGCACUCUGCUAACUCGUAAGAGGAUGUAUAGGGUGUGACGCCUGCCCGGUGCUCGAAGGUUAAUUGAUGGGGUUAGCAUUAGCGAAGCUCUUGAUCGAAGCCCGAGUAAACGGCGGCCGUAACUAUAACGGUCCUAAGGUAGCGAAAUUCCUUGUCGGUUAAAUACCGACCUGCAUGAAUGGCGUAACGAGAUGGGAGCUGUCUCAAAGAGGGAUCCAGUGAAAUUGUAGUGGAGGUGAAAAUUCCUCCUACCCGCGGCAAGACGGAAAGACCCCGUGGACCUUUACUACAGCUUGACACUGCUACUUGGAUAAGAAUGUGCAGGAUAGGUGGGAGGCUUUGAGUAUAUGACGCCAGUUGUAUAUGAGCCAUUGUUGAGAUACCACUCUUUCUUAUUUGGGUAGCUAACCAGCUUGAGUUAUCCUCAAGUGGGACAAUGUCUGGUGGGUAGUUUGACUGGGGCGGUCGCCUCCCAAAUAAUAACGGAGGCUUACAAAGGUUGGCUCAGAACGGUUGGAAAUCGUUCGUAGAGUAUAAAGGUAUAAGCCAGCUUAACUGCAAGACAUACAAGUCAAGCAGAGACGAAAGUCGGUCUUAGUGAUCCGGUGGUUCUGUGUGGAAGGGCCAUCGCUCAAAGGAUAAAAGGUACCCCGGGGAUAACAGGCUGAUCUCCCCCAAGAGCUCACAUCGACGGGGAGGUUUGGCACCUCGAUGUCGGCUCAUCGCAUCCUGGGGCUGGAGCAGGUCCCAAGGGUAUGGCUGUUCGCCAUUUAAAGCGGUACGCGAGCUGGGUUCAGAACGUCGUGAGACAGUUCGGUCCCUAUCUGCCGUGGGCGUAAGAAGAUUGAAGAGAUUUGACCCUAGUACGAGAGGACCGGGUUGAACAAACCACUGGUGUAGCUGUUGUUCUGCCAAGAGCAUCGCAGCGUAGCUAAGUUUGGAAAGGAUAAACGCUGAAAGCAUCUAAGCGUGAAGCCAACUCUAAGAUGAAUCUUCUCUAAGCUCUCUAGAAGACUACUAGUUUGAUAGGCUGGGUGUGUAAUGGAUGAAAGUCCUUUAGCUGACCAGUACUAAUAGAGCGUUUGGCUUAUCUUUAAUAAAGCAU
This 3073-nucleotide ribosomal RNA is filed under the name Campylobacter jejuni. Its description in RNAcentral is "23S ribosomal RNA". It matches the Rfam family "Bacterial large subunit ribosomal RNA". The record is from RNAcentral. Lineage: Bacteria; Pseudomonadati; Campylobacterota; Epsilonproteobacteria; Campylobacterales; Campylobacteraceae.